RNAcentral lists this long non-coding RNA (1019 nucleotides) under Lepidothrix coronata (blue-crowned manakin). RNAcentral's name for it is "lncRNA (ENSLCOG00000010285.1)". The record is from RNAcentral. Lineage: Eukaryota; Metazoa; Chordata; Aves; Passeriformes; Pipridae.
AUUCCACUUAAGCAAGAGGUCACAUUGAUCUGCACUGGAGUUCACUGGUCCUGAGGUGACUCAAAGCAGGAGGGAGCAGAUGGCAGCAUCGUUAGCUGGUGGCCACAGCCUUCCCAGAUGAGUUUUGGAAUUUCCAUCAAAGUCGGGAUUAGGCUCAGGAUAUGCCGGUGGCACAGAGCACGCCGGGGGAGCGUGGAAGAAGAGGAAAUCAUUCAUAGCGACUCAUCUCGUGGUUGGGUGCUGAUCUCACAGAGGUGUCCUGCAUAUGCCAAAGGACGAACGUGUUGUUUGAGGGAAAAGCUGCUCAUAAAUCUGUGCAAACUGAAAGAUUCUGAAGACAAACCUGUCAGUAGUGAAUUGUCCCAGAAGCACAUGGAGAAAGUUGUACAUGGUGGAGGCUGUUUUUUCUGAGGCUGAAACUCAUCUCAACUCCUCAUGACCAGCUGAGCAAGAGAGAUGGGAUUUGAUGCUAUCCAAGGUGUAAUUCCACAGUUCAUGUCUUUUGCUACUGCCAGCUUAAUAAGUUUCUGCCCACUCCCAGCCAUUCAUUUCCAGCCCAGCAGCAAUGCAGUGCCAUCUCUUCCCUGACCGUGCGGAAAACCAGAUGGCUGAAAAUAACUCAGUCAAGAAAAGAAACCCUUUAUUUUAUUUUUUUCCUUUGAAUUAGAUUCAUUUGAAUGAUGCCCAUGGGCAGUCGUAUUGGUACAACUGAAGGUGACAUGAACUGCAGCAUCAGAGGCAGCAGUGAGCACUGGAGGGUGUCCCAAUGCUAAGUGAUCUUGCUGUCAACAAAAAUCUGCUCUGGGACCAUAUCCUGGAUGAAGGGGUGUUUCACUAGCCACAGGAUUAUUUAUUGAACUGCUGCUUUUCAUUUAUUUUAUUAAGGAAGAUUAACAUCUUCUUGUUUGGGCAGGUUUAUUUUUUUUUUUACUUGAGGAGAUAAACCAUCUCUGUGAGAAGUCAGUCAGCUUUGUGGACAGCCAUGAAUGUCAAUAAAGUCUUGGCAAACACAGUAGGCA